GAGUUUGAUCAUGGCUCAGAUUGAACGCUGGCGGCAUGCCUUACACAUGCAAGUCGAACGGCAGUACGGGAGCUUGCUCCUGGUGGCGAGUGGCGAACGGGUGAGUAAUGCAUCGGAACGUAUCCUGGAGUGGGGGAUAACGUAGCGAAAGUUACGCUAAUACCGCAUAUUCUGUGAGCAGGAAAGCGGGGGACCUUCGGGCCUCGCGCUCUUGGAGCGGCCGAUGUCGGAUUAGCUAGUUGGUGAGGUAAAGGCUCACCAAGGCGACGAUCCGUAGCAGGUCUGAGAGGAUGAUCUGCCACACUGGAACUGAGACACGGUCCAGACUCCUACGGGAGGCAGCAGUGGGAAUUUUGGACAAUGGGGCAACCCUGAUCCAGCCAUGCCGCGUGAGUGAAGAAGGCCUCGGUU
RNAcentral lists this ribosomal RNA (411 nucleotides) under bacterium enrichment culture clone ALO1_GLFRUDD03F0QUO. RNAcentral's name for it is "bacterial SSU rRNA". It matches the Rfam family "Bacterial small subunit ribosomal RNA", at positions 9 to 424 of the family's 1533-position model. The record is from RNAcentral.